AUUAUAUAUAGGCUUUAAUUUAAUUUGGGCCAUUAUUGUUGGUCUAUAAAAUAAACCCAAUAAGUACAACCGUGCAAUUGAGUCAAACUCUAAAUUACAUAACACACUCUCUUUUUCAGACUUUCACUGUUGUACAUAACCUAAAAACAUGAUAACAUUCAAAUUUUCAAAUCCCUGAUUUUUUUUCCCCCCUCUCUCUC
This 200-nucleotide long non-coding RNA is filed under the name Ananas comosus (pineapple). Its description in RNAcentral is "long non-coding RNA (ACOM_LNC004045)". The record is from RNAcentral. Lineage: Eukaryota; Viridiplantae; Streptophyta; Magnoliopsida; Poales; Bromeliaceae.